CCUACGGGUGGCAGCAGUCGAGAAUCAUUCACAAUGGGGGAAACCCUGAUGGUGCGACGCCGCGUGGGGGAAUGAAGGUCUUCGGAUUGUAAACCCCUGUCAUGUGGGAGCAAAUUAAAAAGAUAGUACCACAAGAGGAAGAGACGGCUAACUCUGUGCCAGCAGCCGCGGUAAUACAGAGGUCUCAAGCGUUGUUCGGAAUCACUGGGCGUAAAGCGUGCGUAGGCUGUUUCGUAAGUCGUGUGUGAAAAGCGCGGGCUGAACCCGCGGACGGCACAUGAUUCUGCGAGACUAGAGUAAGGGAGGGGGAACCGGAAUUCUCGGGGUAGCAGUGAAAUGCGUAGAGAUCGAGAGGAACACUCGUGGCGAAGGCGGGUUCCUGGACAUUAACUGACGCUGAGGCACGAAGGCCAGGGGAGCGAAAGGGAUUAGAUACCCGAGUAGUC
RNAcentral lists this ribosomal RNA (446 nucleotides) under uncultured bacterium. RNAcentral's name for it is "partial 16S ribosomal RNA". It matches the Rfam family "Bacterial small subunit ribosomal RNA", at positions 338 to 795 of the family's 1533-position model. The record is from RNAcentral.